This 284-nucleotide ribosomal RNA is filed under the name uncultured bacterium. RNAcentral describes it as "partial 16S ribosomal RNA". It matches the Rfam family "Bacterial small subunit ribosomal RNA", at positions 200 to 504 of the family's 1533-position model. The record is from RNAcentral.
UCAAAAGAUUUAUUGCUUUGAGAUGGACCCGCGGCGCAUUAGCUAGUUGGUAAGGUAACGGCUUACCAAGGCAACGAUGCGUAGCCGACCUGAGAGGGUGAUCGGCCACAUUGGAACUGAGACACGGUCCAGACUCCUACGGGAGGCAGCAGUGGGGAAUAUUGCGCAAUGGGGGAAACCCUGACGCAGCAACGCCGCGUGGGUGAUGAAGGUCUUCGGAUUGUAAAACUCUGUCUUUGGGGACGAUAAUGACGGUACCCAAGGAGGAAGCCACGGCUAACUAC